AAUAGGAAAAAUUGAGGAUAAAAUGCAAGCCCAAUUAGAAGAUCUAAAAUGUUUCUUACAGGAUCAAUGGGCAAACACCCACUCUACCAGAAACAGACCUGUUUCUGAACCUUUGAAUGAGGAAAUUUCCUUCCCUGAAAUAGAGAUGGAAAACACCUUCCCUAUAGCCCAGUUAACAGACUGCUUCUCUCGUGCAGUGCAAAUCUUGUCUGAAUUUAAUCCCCAAAACCCUUCCCCUGCAAUCCCAGCUUCUCAUGUUCCUUCUCCUACAGAAAACCAAAUUCCAAUGCAAGGGAGAUCUUGUCCUCCUAGAGAAACCUGUCCUUGUCAAACUGACCCACAGGUGCAAAAUACAACUAGAGGCCUGUUUCCUCUAAGAGAAGUACCUGAAAUAGGACGAACUGGGGAUGUGGUGACUUUAAGACAUAGGAUACCGUUUACUCCCCAAGAAAUAAAUGAAUUUACACGAAAUAUUCCCACAUAUGAACAAGAUCUUUUUCUAGUAACAAAAAAGAUGGGAGACAUAUUUUUUCAGUAUAAUCCGUCUUACAAGGACGUUGAGAGCUUACUCCAGGCUUUUUUAAGUGAACGUGAAAAAAAUAAAAUAAUUGCUCAUGUCAACAAAACCAGGGGGCGUAAUGCAGCACAUUGGCCAUCUCAGGAUCCCGAAUGGGACUAUAACAAUCCUGAGGAUUAUCUACAACUAUACCGUUGUAGAGAGGCCAUCCUCACGUCCAUGAAGGAAUGUGCGGACAGUACAGAUAAGUGGAUGGAACUGGAAAAAAUUAAGCAAAAGGAAAAUGAAACACCCUCCAGAUUUAUGGACAGAAUUAUCGAGUUUGGGGACAGAUACUUAGAUUGGGACUUAACUAAAGAGAGUAGUAUAAGACAAGUUAGAAGAAUCUUUGUAAACAAUUCUUGUAAAGCAAUUAAAAAUUAUUUCAAAACACAAUGCCCAAGAUGGUCAGAUAUGGACCUUGAAGAAUUGCGAAAAACAGCUAUAUAUGUUUUAAAGGGAAACGAAGAAAAGGAGAAAGAAAAUGAUGAUGACAUGGAGGAAAUGAAGAAAAAAAUGAGAUAUUUAAUAGAUAGGAUAACUAAAUUAGAAAGUGGGCAGGGUAAUGAACCAAUGACAAUUGCCCCUCUCCAGAAAUCCAAUUAUCAAUCCAUUACUUGCCACUUCUGUGAGAAGAAGGGCCACAAAAUGAUGGAAUGUAGAACCUUUCUUAAGAUGUUUGGAAGGAAUACACAGUUUAAUAAUAGUUUUAGAAAUAAUAACUAUAAUGAAUAUAGAAAUAAGAACUUUAGAAACCAGAAUUAUAGAAAUAGGAAUUGGGAAAUUAAUGACAAUGCUCAAAUUGAAGAAAAUUUUAAUGAUAAUACUCAACAAUAUAUGAGAAAUGGUGCUCGUCCAAAAAUUACUCGAGGUACUAAUGACUCUCAGAGAGGUGCCCUUCAGGGGGGUGCCCAAGGAAUAUCCCAAACACAAUGAUGGUGCCCGAGGGGGGCUAGGGCACAGGAAUCAGAGGAUACAACCUUUGAUUUCCCGGACCCUGAUGUCCUACUACCCGUUGUCCCUAUCCACUGCCCUCCCCAUACUAAUGAACCCCAUGUUACCUUAAAGGUGGGUAACACCUAUUAUGAUUGUCUAUUAGACACCGGAGCUUCCUGGUCUGUAUUGAAGAGAAAACCUGAUUUACAAUGUUAUUCUAUUGGCUCAGAGAAUGUAAUGUGAGUAUCAGGCAUAACCCUCAAGAG
Molecule: long non-coding RNA, 1758 nt
Filed under: Monodelphis domestica (gray short-tailed opossum)
Lineage: Eukaryota; Metazoa; Chordata; Mammalia; Didelphimorphia; Didelphidae
Description: lncRNA (ENSMODG00000041580.1)
Source: RNAcentral